RNAcentral lists this ribosomal RNA (591 nucleotides) under Campylobacter jejuni. RNAcentral describes it as "bacterial SSU rRNA". It matches the Rfam family "Bacterial small subunit ribosomal RNA", at positions 942 to 1533 of the family's 1533-position model. The record is from RNAcentral. Lineage: Bacteria; Pseudomonadati; Campylobacterota; Epsilonproteobacteria; Campylobacterales; Campylobacteraceae.
UGGUUUAAUUCGAAGAUACGCGAAGAACCUUACCUGGGCUUGAUAUCCUAAGAACCUUUUAGAGAUAAGAGGGUGCUAGCUUGCUAGAACUUAGAGACAGGUGCUGCACGGCUGUCGUCAGCUCGUGUCGUGAGAUGUUGGGUUAAGUCCCGCAACGAGCGCAACCCACGUAUUUAGUUGCUAACGGUUCGGCCGAGCACUCUAAAUAGACUGCCUUCGUAAGGAGGAGGAAGGUGUGGACGACGUCAAGUCAUCAUGGCCCUUAUGCCCAGGGCGACACACGUGCUACAAUGGCAUAUACAAUGAGACGCAAUACCGCGAGGUGGAGCAAAUCUAUAAAAUAUGUCCCAGUUCGGAUUGUUCUCUGCAACUCGAGAGCAUGAAGCCGGAAUCGCUAGUAAUCGUAGAUCAGCCAUGCUACGGUGAAUACGUUCCCGGGUCUUGUACUCACCGCCCGUCACACCAUGGGAGUUGAUUUCACUCGAAGCCGGAAUACUAAACUAGUUACCGUCCACAGUGGAAUCAGCGACUGGGGUGAAGUCGUAACAAGGUAACCGUAGGAGAACCUGCGGUUGGAUCACCUCCUUUCUA